This 215-nucleotide long non-coding RNA is filed under the name Carica papaya (papaya). Its description in RNAcentral is "long non-coding RNA (CPAP_LNC014986)". Lineage: Eukaryota; Viridiplantae; Streptophyta; Magnoliopsida; Brassicales; Caricaceae. The record is from RNAcentral.
AUAGCAAUUUAACAACAUUGUACGAUGGUAAUCCUAAAUAAGUUACAAAAGAUUAAGCAAAGUGAAAAAGUAAAAUCUAAAUGGAGCGAUAAAUGUGUGUGAGGAAUCCGAAUUAAAAUCCAGUGGAGGAAUAGUUGUAUGUAUAAGUAAAUUCGUUUUGAGAGAUAUGUGAAUCCAUGUGUAUGUGUGUGUUAAAAAAAGUGGAAUAAGUGAGC